GCGCGCGUAGCUCAGUUGGUAGAGCAUCCGGUUUACACCCGGAAGGUCCUUGGUUCGAGCCCAAGCGCGCGCA
RNAcentral lists this transfer RNA (73 nucleotides) under Pseudomonadota bacterium. RNAcentral describes it as "tRNA-Val". It matches the Rfam family "tRNA". Rfam says of the family: Transfer RNA (tRNA) molecules are approximately 80 nucleotides in length. The record is from RNAcentral. RNAcentral also lists the same sequence under 1 other name. Lineage: Bacteria; Pseudomonadati; Pseudomonadota.